UGGUUCUGGCAUCGAUGAAGAACGCAGCGAAAUGCGAUAAGUAAUGCGAAUUGCAGAAUUCAGUGAGUCAUCGAAUCUUUGAACGCACAUUGCGCCCUUUGGCAUUCCGAAGGGCAUGCCUGUUCGAGCGUCAUUUCCACCCCUCAAACCUAGCCGUUUGAUGUUGGGCAGUGCCAGACGGCAUGCCUAAAAGAGAGCGAUGGUCCUCCGAACCUCAAGCGCACAGAUGCCGCUAUGCGGGGGAGGCAGGCGCCAGUCUUCAGCGGAAUUUUGAACGUUGACCUCGGAUCAGGUAGGGAUACCCGCUGA
Molecule: unclassified non-coding RNA, 309 nt
Filed under: uncultured fungus
Lineage: Eukaryota; Fungi
Description: partial contains 5.8S ribosomal RNA and internal transcribed spacer 2
Rfam family: 5.8S ribosomal RNA (bases 1-133)
Source: RNAcentral